RNAcentral lists this long non-coding RNA (739 nucleotides) under Malus domestica (apple). Its description in RNAcentral is "long non-coding RNA (MDOM_LNC021167)". The record is from RNAcentral. Lineage: Eukaryota; Viridiplantae; Streptophyta; Magnoliopsida; Rosales; Rosaceae.
GGCCUAGCCCUCGGUUGGAGACGAUUUUCGGGCUAUUUUCAGCCCUCUGGACCCUUCGGUUGGAGAUGGCCUUAAGUGAUAGUCAUGAGGCCAGUCUGGGCCUAACGGUUAAACGAAUUUAAGCAAAUUUAUUAUAUAUUGUAAAAAUAAUUUUAGUUAUACUUAAAAAAACACACACACACAAUUUUAUUGGGAUAUCUAAAUUACAAAAUAAAACGACAUAUUAAUUAUAUAGUAUUAGAACAUAUUAAAACAUAGGGAACAAGCAAAUAAUAAGUAUUCAUCUAAGUAUUUAACAAGUCUUACAUUUUAUUGAAAAAUUAAAACCCAAAAUGAAAGUUAUCGAUUUUUAGUAUAAGUGAGAGUUGCAACCUAGGCGGGCUAGGUGGACGCCUAAGUAGGUCUAGGCGCACUUUCUUAAUUUUCAAACACAUAAAAACUAUCGGGGUAGUGGCCAACCGUCUAGCGCAUAGAUGAAAAUUUUUAGAACAAUGUUAGGGAUAUAAUAGUGUCCAUGAAGAGUCCUAAUUUUAAGAAUAGUUCCCUUAGUAUUUCUCAUAUAAAAUUACACAAAUUAUCAUUAUAUUUAAUGGAUUAGUUCUUAUAUUAAUAUUUCAUACUUUUUAAAAUCUAGCAGAUAAAUGUUACAUCAAUUUUUUUAACAAAUGAUAUUAUUUACAAUAACGAUGGGGGAAUGGGCUAAGUUUUACAAUAAGCUAGCAAUAAUGUGGAUGUUACA